GACGAACGCUGGCGGCGUGCUUAACACAUGCAAGUCGAACGGAAAGGCCCUGCUUUUGUGGGGUGCUCGAGUGGCGAACGGGUGAGUAACACGUGAGUAACCUGCCCUUGACUUUGGGAUAACUUCAGGAAACUGGGGCUAAUACCGGAUAGGAGCUCCUGCUGCAUGGUGGGGGUUGGAAAGUUUCGGCGGUUGGGGAUGGACUCGCGGCUUAUCAGCUUGUUGGUGGGGUAGUGGCUUACCAAGGCUUUGACGGGUAGCCGGCCUGAGAGGGUGACCGGCCACAUUGGGACUGAGAGACGGCCCAGACUCCUACGGGAGGCAGCAGGGGGGAAUAUUGCACAAUGGGCGGGAGCCUGAUGCAGCAACGCCGCGUGCGGGAUGACGGCCUUCGGGUUGUAAACCGCUUCCGCCUGUGACGAAGCGUGAGUGACGGUAAUGGGUAAAGAAGCACCGGCUAACUACGUG
Molecule: ribosomal RNA, 468 nt
Filed under: uncultured bacterium
Lineage: Bacteria
Description: partial 16S ribosomal RNA
Rfam family: Bacterial small subunit ribosomal RNA
Source: RNAcentral